Molecule: long non-coding RNA, 3300 nt
Organism: Polyodon spathula (Mississippi paddlefish)
Lineage: Eukaryota; Metazoa; Chordata; Actinopteri; Acipenseriformes; Polyodontidae
Exons: 3
Source: RefSeq, a predicted model, not a curated record
UCCACGACAACUCUUGGCGACGAGGAUGGGAUGGCUAGCUCCGUUUUCCGAUCGCUCCCGGGGUCUUUGAGGUUAACCGUGCAUGGGGGCUGCUUAGGAGUGGCUCAGGGAACCACACUCUGAAAUAAUUUCAGAGGAGAAGGACCCGCCUUGAACCUGGCUGGAAGCAUCGGUGGACUGAUACGCCAUCCCGAACAAAGACUAAGGCCCCUGCUCCUCAGCCUGACCGACCCGUCCGGGUCCCGCGCCUCCGCCUCUGAUAUCCACCCCAAGCAACCCGACAGGUUUCCAAGGCGGUUCCCGAUGGACUUGGUCCCCUUGGUCGCCCCCUGGAUGAUAAGAUUCUUAUCAUUGUUGCUGUAAUUGUGGCCAGGAAGGACAUUUUGCUAGAGAUUGUCAGAGACAGCAGCAAGCCAACGGGAGUAACUGGCAGAGCGCUCCCCCACCGCAAGUAUCACUAUACAAAACAGAAACCAGAAUGAAGCAAGGCAGGGACAUCUGACACCAACACAGCGAACAAGCAGUACGUGCUUACUUUUUCUAAACCACAAGAAGCCCCCACCGUUGAUCUCUUCGUGAAUGUGCUCGCGCUGCUUGCGCUCCUUUCUUUUGGGUCGCGCCUGUCCAACUGGAAUCCAUGGGGCAGAGAAUCGAGAUGUGCCCCGUGGGGAGGCACUGGGAGGCACGUUUUCACCCUUGCUGAUCGGCCUCCCCAAUUCUCUAUGGGCAAAAGAUAAGUAUGAUAUUGGCCUUAUGAAAGGGGCAGAGCCCAUAACAGUCACACCGGAAAGCACACACCAGCCUAGCCGCACCCAGUAUCCUCUCAGCAAGGAAGCAGAGGAAGGCAUUGCUCCUGUGCAUGCGUCUUUGGUCUCUAGAGGAGCCACUGUGCCCUACCCGGACUCUCCUUGCAACACCCCGAUUCUACCGGUCCGCAAAGCCUCGGGAGAAUGGCGCUUUGUCCAAGACCUCAGGUUAGUAAAUGACACAAUACAUGCAAGGACCCCUUUUGUGCCAAACCCAGUUACUCUUUUGUCAGCUGUUCCCCCCCAAGUGCAAAGUGGUUUACUAUUGUUGAUUUAGCAAUUGCAUUCUUCAGCAACCCUGUUGCAAGUGACUCAUAGUUUUGUUUGCUUUCACCUUUAUGGGGAAACGAUAGACCUGGAGUUAUGCUUCAGGGGUUCAGAGAAUCGCCAGCCGUCUUUUCUGCCGCUUUGGCGCAGAAUCUGGAAGGUUUUGUUCCCCCUGGUGGAAGCAAACUCAUACAGUAUGCGGAUGAUUUGCUUUUAUGUUUUGAAACUCAGCACACGUGCAAAACUGAUACAUGAGCUCUUUUAGAGUACCUAGCUCGUAAUGGCCAUAAGGUAUCAAAAAAAAAAAAAAAAAAAAGCUGCAGCUCGUGUCACCAUCUGUAAAAUACUUGGGACGCGAUAUUAAACCAGAAGGCAGGAAAUUGGGCCUGGAGCGUGUCACUGCAAUUCUGACACUGCCCCAGCCUGCCACAAAAAAACACAUGAUGACGUUGCUAGAUAUGGCUGGCUACUGUAGAGCUUCCAGAUUAUGCUGAAGUAACACAGCCCCUAGCUGACUUGAUACGUAGCCAUAAGAUGACUAUGAAAGACACAAUUGACUAGACUCCUGACAGACUGACUGCCCUAAAAAAAACUUAAACAGCUCUAGUCCUAGUCUAGUCCUCUCCACCCUGUCUUGAGUUACCCGAUCACUCUAAACCUUUUAACCCGUUUGUUUGUGCAAAGGGAGGAUUCAUGUCGGCAGUACUGACACAAGAGCACGGGGGAGAACAACGUCCUGUGGCUUUUUACUCUAAGCGCCUUGAUAAUGUAGCGAGGGCUAGUCUGUUGCUUGAGAGCGGUGGCUGCCACCACUGAAGCUGUGCUGGCUAGUGCUGACCUAGUUGCAAUGUGCCCGCUAACUGUACAUGUUCCUCAUGCAGUACAUGCUCUCAUUUCACAGGCCAAGACAGCACAUCUGAAUGCACAUUACCAGAAUGUAUUAAUGACCAUGUCACAUGUCGUGCUAAAACGCUGUACUGUGCUUAACCCUGCUACACUUCUUCCUACAGAAGCCGAUGGAGAGCCUCAUGAUUGCAUCGCCUUAGUAGAACAGGUCUGCAAGCCACAACCCGAUCUUACUGAUGUGCCCGUGUUGAACGUGCCAGGCACACGCUGACGCUUCUGAUCCUGUCUCUCAAGGGAAUGCUGUUGCAGAUGCUGCUGCUAAAGCAGCUGCCGCAUCAACUCAGGCCCCUGUGCUCCAAGUGGUGUCAUUACCUGCCUUAACUGAAUCUGUAUUUUCUUUACAGGAUGUAGCUGACUUACAACACAGUGUGGGUCCUGCUGAGAUAGCUCUGUGGAAAAACAAAUGCUCUGAUGAUUCUACUCAUAAGAUUUGGAGAGGACCCACUGGGUUGCCUGCCCUUCCCCGUUCAUGUUUCCCUUAUGUAGCUGAUUUGGCACACGGCCAAGACCAUGUGUCAAAGGGAGGGGCGGUGAAUGUCGUUAACAAUUUUUUGUUUGCUCCAGGUUUUUAAACAUAUGCUAACCAAUUUUGUGCUAAAUGUGUGAUUUGUGUGACCAACAAUGUAGACCGCAGCACGCCCAUGUCAGUGUCUGCUCAUCCAAGGCCUGAGGGCCCCUUUGAACAUGUUAUGAUGGAUUUUAUUGAAUUGACACCUUGCCAAGGUUACAAGUACUGCCUUGUGAUAAUUGAUGCCUUUUCUAAAUGGACUGAAACAUUCCUCUGCAGACAUGCCACAGCUAUGGCAGUAGCAAAAAGCCUAAUGAGAGAGAUUAUACCCCGGGUAGGGUCUGCCAUCUAAAUUGACACCUGACAAUGGUUCUCAUUUUGUGAACAGUGUGGUACAGAACAUUUCUGAAAGCCUACAAAUUGAUUUACACACACACUGUAGCUACCACCCUGCCAGCGGAGGCUUGGUGGAGUGAACCAAACAAUAAAAACUAAACUAAACUAAGCUCAUGGCUGAAACAGGGCUCUCCUGGGUUACAGUAUUGCCAUUGGCCCUGAUGUACACGCGUGGAAGCACACACAGUACUACAGAGCUAGCACCCCAUGAAGUAUUGACGGGAUGCCCAAUGCGGAUGCUGAACACACCUUUUCCUCAAAAUAGGCUCACCCUAAUGGGAUGUGAAAAUGAAAUGGUAAAAUAUUGUGCUUCUCUUAACAAUGUUCUGAAGUCUAUAUUUCCCAGGGUACAAGAGCGAAAAAGUACUCCGUGGAAGCAUCUGCUAAGAUGUGUGAGGCCUAGAAGGCAUAUUUCGG